UGAAUAUAUGAUGACACCUCGGUAAUGCAGACUUCCAUGCACAGUGGAGAAGCCAACCUUGGACAGCUGCGUGUGCA
Small nucleolar RNA from Lemur catta (Ring-tailed lemur), 77 nucleotides. The record is from RefSeq and is a predicted model, not a curated record. NCBI's taxonomy places the organism in Eukaryota, Metazoa, Chordata, Mammalia, Primates, Lemuridae.